This 373-nucleotide ribosomal RNA is filed under the name Quercus suber. The record is from RNAcentral. Lineage: Eukaryota; Viridiplantae; Streptophyta; Magnoliopsida; Fagales; Fagaceae.
CUCCUAGGAAGUCCUCGUGUUGCACCCCUCUCUUAUUCUUUGCAUUUUUUUCGUUGGGGUUAUCGUUUACGGCAAUCCAGCGCGCUCGCUUUGCAUGCACCCCUUUCAUUUUCUCUGCAUUUUUUUACGUUGGGCUCAAACUUUACGUCGGUCCAGCACGCUCGCUUUGUUGGCUUAGCCCGCCCCAGGCCUAGAACACGAGCCGCGGAUCUAGUUUUCUGUGCUAAAGCGUCGCAGCGACAUCGAAAUCCGCAGAACCCCUUCGGGUUGCACCUCUCCGGCCUUAAAGUGCAUCGUUGCAUUUGGAUCGUUUUAUAAGAAUUAAAUGCACUUAUGUUGAUGGGUGCGAUCAUACCAACACCAAUGCACCGCA